RNAcentral lists this unclassified non-coding RNA (275 nucleotides) under plant metagenome. Its description in RNAcentral is "partial contains small subunit ribosomal RNA, internal transcribed spacer 1, and 5.8S ribosomal RNA". The record is from RNAcentral.
UUUCCGUAGGUGAACCUGCGGAAGGAUCAUUAUCGUACAAAAUGUGAGGGGCAUGCGAGGGCUGUCGCUGACCCAAAAGUCGUGCACGCCCGAGUGUGUCCUCUUGCAUAAUAAUCCAUCUCACCCUCUGUGCAUCACCGCGUGGGCACCCUUCGGGAUCAUCUCGGAGGGGGGCUCGCGUUUUCACACAAACUUUGUAUGCAGUGUAGAAUGUAUUUUUUGUUUUUGCGAUCACGCAAUCAAUACAACUUUCAACAACGGAUCUCUUGGCUCUC